This is a small nuclear RNA of Gorilla gorilla gorilla (western lowland gorilla), 104 nucleotides long. NCBI's taxonomy places the organism in Eukaryota, Metazoa, Chordata, Mammalia, Primates, Hominidae. The record is from Rfam.
GAUUUGUUUUAAUCAUACUAGAAAAUGAUUUGACGAUACAGAGAUGAUUAACAUGGCCCCUACCUGAUGAUGACACACAAGUUCAUGAAGCAUUUCACACUUUU